This 595-nucleotide ribosomal RNA is filed under the name uncultured Bacteroidota bacterium. RNAcentral's name for it is "bacterial SSU rRNA". It matches the Rfam family "Bacterial small subunit ribosomal RNA", at positions 122 to 715 of the family's 1533-position model. The record is from RNAcentral. Lineage: Bacteria; Pseudomonadati; Bacteroidota.
CAACCUGCCGUCUACUCUUGGACAGCCUUCUGAAAGGAAGAUUAAUACAAGAUGGCAUCAUGAGUCCGCAUGUUCACAUGAUUAAAGGUAUUCCGGUAGACGAUGGGGAUGCGUUCCAUUAGAUAGUAGGCGGGGUAACGGCCCACCUAGUCUUCGAUGGAUAGGGGUUCUGAGAGGAAGGUCCCCCACAUUGGAACUGAGACACGGUCCAAACUCCUACGGGAGGCAGCAGUGAGGAAUAUUGGUCAUUGGGCGAGAGCCUGAACCAGCCAAGUAGCGUGAAGGAUGACUGCCCUAUGGGUUGUAAACUUCUUUUAUAAAGGAAUAAAGUCGGGUAUGGAUACCCGUUUACAUGUACUUUAUGAAUAAGGAUCGGCUAACUCCGUGCCAGCAGCCGCGGUAAUACGGAGGAUCCGAGCGUUAUCCGGAUUUAUUGGGUUUAAAGGGAGCGUAGAUGGAUGUUUAAGUCAGUUGUGAAAGUUUGUGGCUCAACCGUAAAAUUGCAGUUGAUACUGGAUAUCUUGAGUGCAGUUGAGGCAGGCGGAAUUCGUGGUGUAGCGGUGAAAUGCUUAGAUAUCACGAAGAACUCCGAUUG